This 519-nucleotide ribosomal RNA is filed under the name uncultured bacterium. RNAcentral describes it as "bacterial SSU rRNA". It matches the Rfam family "Bacterial small subunit ribosomal RNA", at positions 27 to 518 of the family's 1533-position model. The record is from RNAcentral.
GGACGAACGCUGGCGGCGUGCCUAAUACAUGCAAGUCGAACGGUCUUUCUAUGGAAGCUUGCUUCCACUGAGAAGAUAGUGGCGAACGGGUGAGUAACACGUGGGUAACCUGCCCAUAAGAGGGGGGAUAACAUCCGGAAACGGGUGCUAAUACCGCAUAGUUUUCUUGAUCGCAUGAUCGGGAAAGGAAAGACGGCCUUUGUGCUGUCGCUUAUGGAUGGACCCGCGGCGUAUUAGUUAGUUGGUGAGGUAACGGCUCACCAAGACGAUGAUACGUAGCCGACCUGAGAGGGUGAUCGGCCACAUUGGGACUGAGACACGGCCCAAACUCCUACGGGAGGCAGCAGUAGGGAAUCUUCCGCAAUGGACGAAAGUCUGACGGAGCAACGCCGCGUGAGUGAAGAAAGGUUUUCGGAUCGUAAAACUCUGUUGUCAGAGAAGAACAAGUUGGAGAGUAACUGCUCCAGCCUUGACGGUAUCUGACCAGAAAGCCACGGCUAACUACGUGCCAGCAGCCGC